CAGCAGCCGCGGGAAUACGGAGGGGGCUAGCGUUGUUCGGAAUUACUGGGCGUAAAGCGCACGUAGGCGGCUUGGUAAGUUAGAGGUGAAAGCCCAGGGCUCAACCCUGGAAUUGCCUUUAAGACUGCCGAGCUAGUAGGUGAGAGAGGUAAGUGGAAUUCCGAGUGUAGAGGUGAAAUUCGUAGAUAUUCGGAAGAACACCAGUGGCGAAGGCGGCUUACUGGCUCAUUCUAGACGCUGAGGUGCGAAAGCGUGGGGAGCAAACAGGAUUAGAUACCCCCGUAGUCCCUGUCUCUUAUAC
This 301-nucleotide ribosomal RNA is filed under the name uncultured bacterium. Its description in RNAcentral is "partial 16S ribosomal RNA". It matches the Rfam family "Bacterial small subunit ribosomal RNA", at positions 509 to 807 of the family's 1533-position model. The record is from RNAcentral.